AGUGAACGCUGGCGGUAGGCCUAACACAUGCAAGUCGAACGGCAGCACAGUAAGAGCUUGCUCUUACGGGUGGCGAGUGGCGGACGGGUGAGGAAUACAUCGGAAUCUACUUUUUCGUGGGGGAUAACGUAGGGAAACUUACGCUAAUACCGCAUACGACCUACGGGUGAAAGCAGGGGAUCUUCGGACCUUGCGCGAUUGAAUGAGUCGAUGUCGGAUUAGCUAGUUGGCGGGGUAAAGGCCCACCAAGGCGACGAUCCGUAGCUGGUCUGAGAGGAUGAUUAGCCACACUGGAACUGAGACACGGUCCAGACUCCUACGGGAGGCAGCAGUGGGGAAUAUUGGACAAUGGGCGCAAGCCUGAUCCAGCCAUACCGCGUGGGUGAAGAAGGCCUUCGGGUUGUAAAGCCCUUUUGUUGGGAAAGAAAAGCAGCAGGUUAAUACCCCGCUGUUCUGACGGUACCCAAAGAAUAAGCACCGGCUAACUUCGUG
Molecule: ribosomal RNA, 492 nt
Filed under: uncultured bacterium
Lineage: Bacteria
Description: partial 16S ribosomal RNA
Rfam family: Bacterial small subunit ribosomal RNA
Source: RNAcentral